GCCCCUGUUGUCUAAUGGUUAUGACGUCAGACUUCUAAUCUGGAGGUUGCGGGUUCGAGUCCCGCCAGGGGUU
This 73-nucleotide transfer RNA is filed under the name Amanita thiersii Skay4041. It matches the Rfam family "tRNA". Rfam says of the family: Transfer RNA (tRNA) molecules are approximately 80 nucleotides in length. Their secondary structure includes four short double-helical elements and three loops (D, anti-codon, and T loops). Further hydrogen bonds mediate the characteristic L-shaped molecular structure. tRNAs have two regions of fundamental functional importance: the anti-codon, which is responsible for specific mRNA codon recognition, and the 3' end, to which the tRNAs corresponding amino acid is attached (by aminoacyl-tRNA synthetases). tRNAs cope with the degeneracy of the genetic code in two manners: having more than one tRNA (with a specific anti-codon) for a particular amino acid; and 'wobble' base-pairing, i.e. permitting non-standard base-pairing at the 3rd anti-codon position. Lineage: Eukaryota; Fungi; Basidiomycota; Agaricomycetes; Agaricales; Amanitaceae. RNAcentral also lists the same sequence under 1 other name. The record is from Rfam by way of RNAcentral.